AUGAACGCUGGCGGCGUGCUUAACACAUGCAAGUCGAACGAAGCACUCUAUUUGAUUUCCUUCGGGACUGAUUAUUUUGUGACUGAGUGGCGGACGGGUGAGUAACGCGUGGGUAACCUGCCUUGUACAGGGGGAUAACAGUUGGAAACGGCUGCUAAUACCGCAUAAGCGCACAGCAUCGCAUGAUGCAGUGUGAAAAACUCCGGUGGUAUAAGAUGGACCCGCGUUGGAUUAGCUAGUUGGUGAGGUAACGGCCCACCAAGGCGACGAUCCAUAGCCGACCUGAGAGUGUGACCGGCCACAUUGGGACUGAGACACGGCCCAAACUCCUACGGGAGGCAGCAGUGGGGAAUAUUGCACAAUGGGCGAAAGCCUGAUGCAGCGACGCCGCGUGAGCGAAGAAGUAUUUCGGUAUGUAAAGCUCUAUCAGCAGGGAAGAUAAUGACGGUACCUGACUAAGAAGCACCGGCUAAAUACGUG
RNAcentral lists this ribosomal RNA (480 nucleotides) under uncultured bacterium. Its description in RNAcentral is "partial 16S ribosomal RNA". It matches the Rfam family "Bacterial small subunit ribosomal RNA", at positions 29 to 507 of the family's 1533-position model. The record is from RNAcentral.